AAGGCGAUUUGGGAGGGGCCUGCGGUCGAUUAGCUGGUUGGUGGGGUAAAGGCCUCUCCAAGCCGAUGAUCGAUAGCUGUUCUGAGAGGAAGUCCAUCCACGCGGGAGCUGAGACACGGUUCCGACUCCUACGGGGGGCAGCAGUGAGGAAUAUUGCGCAAUGGGGGGACCCCUAACGCAGCAACUCCGCGUGGAGGACGAAGGUUUUCGGAUUGUAAACUCCUUAGCUGGGGGAAGAGAGAGGACGGUACUCCAGGACGAAGACACGGCUAAUUAGGUGCCAGCACCCGCGGUAAUACCUAGGUGUCGAGCGUUAUCCGGAAUUACUGGGCGUAAAGGGUGCGCAGGCGGCGAUACAAGUCUGGCGUGAAAGCUUCUGGCUUAACUGGGAGAGGACGUUGGAAACUGUAUGGCUAGAGUGAAUGAGAGGGGCCGGAAAUCCCGGUGUAGUGGUGGAAUGCGUAGAUAUCGGGAAGAACACCAGAGGCGAAGGCGGCCUCCUGGCAUUUUACUGACGCUGAGGCACGAAAGCGUGGGUAGCGAACGGGAUUAGAUACCCUGGUAGUC
This 567-nucleotide ribosomal RNA is filed under the name uncultured Chloroflexota bacterium. RNAcentral describes it as "bacterial SSU rRNA". It matches the Rfam family "Bacterial small subunit ribosomal RNA", at positions 212 to 795 of the family's 1533-position model. The record is from RNAcentral. Lineage: Bacteria; Bacillati; Chloroflexota.